RNAcentral lists this ribosomal RNA (395 nucleotides) under uncultured bacterium. Its description in RNAcentral is "partial 16S ribosomal RNA". It matches the Rfam family "Bacterial small subunit ribosomal RNA", at positions 523 to 916 of the family's 1533-position model. The record is from RNAcentral.
AUACGUAGGGAGCGAGCGUUGUCCGGAAUUACUGGGUGUAAAGGGAGCGUAGGCGGGAGUGCAAGUCAGAUGUGAAAUACAUGGGCUCAACCCAUGGGCUGCAUUUGAAACUGCAUUUCUUGAGUGAAGUAGAGGUAAGCGGAAUUCCUGGUGUAGCGGUGAAAUGCGUAGAUAUCCGGAGGAACACCGGUGGCGAAGGCGGCCUCCUGGCCUGCUCCUGACACUGAGACGCGAAAGCUAGGGGAGCGAACGGGAUUAGAAACCCCGGUAGUCCUAGCCAUAAACGAUGGAUGCUAGGUGUCGGUGGUAUUGACCCCAUCGGUGCCGAAGCCAACGCGUUAAGCAUCCCACCUGGGGACUACGGCCGCAAGGUUAAAACUCAAAGGAAUUGACGG